Balaenoptera ricei (Rice's whale) is the source of this 311-nucleotide long non-coding RNA. RefSeq lists it as uncharacterized. The transcript has 3 exons. The record is from RefSeq and is a predicted model, not a curated record. Lineage: Eukaryota; Metazoa; Chordata; Mammalia; Artiodactyla; Balaenopteridae.
CUGUUACAAGGCGAACUCCAAUUACAGGAGUGCUCUCAUUGUGAGGAGCUGAAAACUUGCAUUGCCACGGGGCAGCGAUCCAGGAAGAAGAACUGAGGCCAUUUCUACAAUCCACUACAGAUACGCCUCUUAAGAAAGAAGACAGAAGAAGAAUAGCAGCCCGAGUUCAUGUGUGGCAGCCCCGUGGUGGAAAUUCCCAGCCAUUACAUAGCACACUGGAGGGGGAACGUGGAGAGCAAGGAACUAUAUCAAUGAGAUUCAGAACGGGUUCAAGAUACCAUCGUUUUUCUGUCAAGAGGCGUUAAGAGAGG